UCUCUAAACAAUUGGAUGUCUUGGCUCCUCACACGAUGAAGAACGUUGCAUAAUGUGAUAAGUAACUGGAGUUGCGAACAUUGUGACAAGUUAAUCUUUGAAUGCAAAUUGCGCAUACCUGAAUUUAUUCAGAUGCAUAUAUAUUCUAGUACUACA
RNAcentral lists this ribosomal RNA (156 nucleotides) under Pentatrichomonas hominis. Its description in RNAcentral is "5.8S ribosomal RNA". It matches the Rfam family "5.8S ribosomal RNA". Rfam says of the family: 5.8S ribosomal RNA (5.8S rRNA) is a component of the large subunit of the eukaryotic ribosome. The record is from RNAcentral. Lineage: Eukaryota; Parabasalia; Trichomonadida; Trichomonadidae.